This 2432-nucleotide long non-coding RNA is filed under the name Capsicum annuum. RNAcentral describes it as "long non-coding RNA (CANN_LNC005555)". Lineage: Eukaryota; Viridiplantae; Streptophyta; Magnoliopsida; Solanales; Solanaceae. The record is from RNAcentral.
UCCCCUUUUAUUGUGCAUGUUCCCUGCCGACAAUCAACCAUGAAAUCCUUUCAAUUCUCAAUUCUAAUAUUCUUUUCUUUUUAGUUCUUGGAAGUUUCUCUGAUUCUCUGUCUGUCACCCAUACUCCCAAAGUAUGGAAUAAAAAGAUGUAAGAUAGAAUCCCAAUGGGUCAACUUUCAUGACAACCUGUAAGUAUAAGCAUUUUUUGAUAUGAUAAAUCUGAUCUCAUAAAGGGAUUCCCUACAACAGUUUUGGUACGACUACCAAUUUUUACUAGUGGUAUUUUUAUGAAAUGAUAAACAUAUUGCUGAAUGCCCUGCUAGCUAAUAUAGAAAGACUGUUUUCAAAAGAUCCUCAGCUCAUCAGGAAGAAUACAGUUAGUGAAACUAGAUCGGCAAGUUGGGUGUUUCCAAAAAAAUGAUCAGCCUUAAGUUCUAGCUUAGAUCGAAGGGCUAUCGUCUUGCACGGUGAAAUGUUAAUUAUUUUUUUUUUUUUCGUUUUAAGGGGUUCCAAAUCUCAAGGAAAGUGGAAUACUAGUUUCUGUUCAUUAGUUGCCAGAACUAAAACUGUGACAAAUAUAGUGCUUAGCUGAAUUUUCACUAUUUCUCUUCAAUUUUGUCAAAAUUAACAGAAUUAGAAUUAUUAUAAUUAUAAUUUAUAAUUGACAGGUUAUUCAUGGUACUGGAAUUUAAAAUAACACAUCUACAGCUAAGUGUAGGUCAAUCAGCUCGUGUGAUAAGUCGUUUAGUUUUAAUGCGCAAUGAAUAAACGCAUAUUCGUCUUCGUUUAAAAGAUAGAAUAAUUCUAUCAAAUCUAUGUUAACGUUAAUCAAUCUACGCAUUAAAAAUAUUGAUCUAACAUAAUGACCACGCAACAACACUAAUUCUAAAGAAAAUAAGUUGUCGCUGCAAAUAUAUUCGGAUAAAGAAUUUGGAGUCGAAUCUCACAGAAAACUAAACCUUAGCUCUAACUAUCCAAUUUCACUAUAAAAAUAAGUUCCAACAAUUUUUCGAGUUAUAACGAGUAAGAUUUCUACUUUAAAUUAUCUAAUUAGAGAAUGUGUUGAAUCCCUGAAAAGACCUUAAGUUAUAAAUGUCUUUCCCAGGUAUCGAAAAUCCCUCUUGCUACAUAAAUGUUAGUAAUAUAUCGUCAUACACGAUUUGGUUAGCUCAUUAUCUUUUUUAGAUUGUUGUUAUAGCAGGUAACUUAUCGAUUAUUUUUAUAUUACUAGUUCCGAUUAUUUUUAAUUAACCUGAUAAUGAUAACGAUAAAAUUACUCUCCUUUUACACAUAGUUAGUUGAAGAGUUGGGAAAGUCCAAUUGAACUUUAAGGGGUCAUUUGGUACAAAGAGAAGUUAUUCAUGGAUUAACAAUACAGAAAUUAGUAAUGCAGAGAUUAGUAAUACAAGGAUUAUUUUUUAUCAAGUGUUUGGUUCAUUGUAUAAAAAAGUAGAUAUAUCAUGUAUUUUAAAACUCUUCUUUACAAUUAUAUCCUUAAAUUUUUAUGAAAUUUUCUACUUCAUUUAACUAGUCAAGUUGCUCACCCUUUGUGCGAUCUUAUAGAAAAGCUAAAAUAUGAAUAAUUAUUCUUACUCCGCUUAAUUGAUCAUUUAUUUCUUUUACAAAAAUUUUAAAUCUAUUUAAUCAAGAAAAAUUUAAAAUAACAAAUAAUUGUCAUAUUAUAGAGAAAUAAUUUUUAAAAAAUGUAAAGCACACUAUGUAAGAACAUCAUGGACUGUUGAUAAUGUAGUUUUAGAUUUUCAAAUUAUAUAUUUAUUUGAUAAUAAUCUUUUCUAUUUAAAUUAAUCCGUCUGUAAAUUGAACAAAUACAAAAUAGCAUAAAUGUAGUUCACAUUCGAAGCUAUCAAUCAACAUAAGGAAGUAAAUGAUAUUUAAACACUUGAUUCGCAUACGCAAAGUAAAAAAAGGUUGACAAAUUAAAUGUAACAUAACAACCAAAUUUGUAGUGAUUAAAUUUAAAAUGGAACUAAAAAAAAAAUUAAUAAAAAGAAUUGAUGGGUAACUGAGUCAUUUAAUUUUCUUAUUCAUAUAUUAUUAAGCCAUGGAUAAGUAAUCCCAUGGUUUCUUAGGUAUAAGCAAAUACACUCUAUGGUGUAUUAGCUAUUCAUGUAUUAGGUGAAAUUAGAUUUAAAUUGGACAACCAAACAUUGUACAUGUCUGAACUAAAUUUUAAUUCAUGAAUUAUUUUAUUUAAUACAGCAUACCAAACGAAUCCUAAGUGAUAAACGAAAUCAUAAAAUUUGAAACUCAAAUUAGAACAUUAUGGAUGAAAAAUUAAAUUAGGACGGUGAUUUACAAAAUAGAAUGCCCCUCAAGAGCGCCGUGCCUGCUGGAAAUUCCAUAUAAACUAAAGCUACUAAUACGUACCUGCACGGCUCAGUUAUUAUUACAGUAAAAAGUUGCAAGUCCCG